AUUGAACGCUGGCGGCAGGCCUAACACAUGCAAGUCGAACGAGUGGCGGACGGGUGAGUAAUGUCUGGGAAAAUGCCUGAUGGAGGGGGAUAACUACUGGAAACGGUAGCUAAUACCGCAUACCAUCGGAUGUGCCCAGAUGGGAUUAGCUAGUAGGUGGGGUAAAGGCUGACCUAGGCGACGAGCCCUAGCUGGUCUGAGAGGAUGACCAUGCACACUGGAACUGAGACACGGUCCAGCCUCCUACGGGCGGCAGCAGUGGGAAAUAUUGCACAAUGGGCGCAAGCCUGAUGCAGCCAUGCCGCGUGUAUGAAGAAGGCCUUCGGGUUGUAAAGUACUUUCGGCGGGGAGGCGUUACCCGCAGAAGAAGCACCGGCUAACUCCGUUCCAGCAGCCGCGGUAAUAC
RNAcentral lists this ribosomal RNA (406 nucleotides) under uncultured bacterium. RNAcentral describes it as "partial 16S ribosomal RNA". It matches the Rfam family "Bacterial small subunit ribosomal RNA", at positions 30 to 526 of the family's 1533-position model. The record is from RNAcentral.